Molecule: ribosomal RNA, 924 nt
Filed under: Argulus sp. OC-2001
Lineage: Eukaryota; Metazoa; Arthropoda; Ichthyostraca; Arguloida; Argulidae
Description: eukaryotic LSU rRNA
Rfam family: Eukaryotic large subunit ribosomal RNA
Source: RNAcentral
AUACGACGCUCAUUAGACCCCAUGAAAGGUGUUGGUUGCUUUAGACAGCAGGACGGUGGCCAUGGAAGUCGGAAUCCGCUAAGGAAGUGUGUACUAACUCACCUGCCGAAGCAACUAGCCCUGAAAAUGGAUGGCGCUCAAGCGUCGAGCCUAUACCCGGCCGCCGGGGCAGAGCAGGCCCUCCAAGGUUUUCUUCGGAAACGAGAGCCCACAGGCCCCGGCGAGUAGGAGGGUCGCGACGGUGUGCGCAGAAGGGUCUGGGCGUGAGCCUGCCUGGAGCCGCCGUCGGUGCAGAUCUUGGUAGUAGUAGCAAAUACUCAAGUGAGAUCCUUGAGGGCUGAUUGUGGAGAAGGGUUCCAUGUAAACAGCCUUUGAACAUGGUUCAGUCGAUCCUAAGCCUUAGGAGAAAUCCGUUCCCAACCUUUGCGGCCAAAUCAAACACAAAAACUAAAAUCAAAUAAGUUGCCGCGGGAACAGGCGAAAGGGAAUCCGGUACUUAUUCCGGAACCUGGUCACGGACAGUUAGGGGGGAAGCUCUGUUUUCACCCACGCUGCAAAGCAAACGAACUCGGAGACAUCGAACGGAACCCCGGGAAGAGUUUUCUUUUCUGCAUAAGGGACCUUAGACCCUGGAAUCGGCUCGCACGGAGAGAGGGUUUGGGUCCCGAAGAGCGCCGCGGUUCUUGCGGCGUCCGGAUGGUUUCGCUCGAUCCUUGAAAAUCCGAGGGAGGGCUCACCACUUUCGUGCCAGCUCGUACCCAUAUCCGCAGCAGGUCUCCAAGGUGAACAGCCUCUAGUCGAUAGAAUAAUGUAGGUAAGGGAAGUCGGCAAAUUAGAUCCGUAACUUCGGGACAAGGAUUGGCUCUGAGGUUGGGCCGGUCCGGCUUGGUCGGGAAACGGGUAGCGACUUCGUAUCGGGACUGA